Molecule: ribosomal RNA, 253 nt
Filed under: uncultured bacterium
Lineage: Bacteria
Description: partial 16S ribosomal RNA
Rfam family: Bacterial small subunit ribosomal RNA
Source: RNAcentral
UACGUAGGGGGCAAGCGUUGUCCGGAAUCAUUGGGCGUAAAGCGCGCGUAGGCGGCCCGAUAAGUCUGCUGUGAAAGUCCAGGGCUCAACCCUGGAAUGCCGGUGGAUACUGUCGGGCUAGAGUUCGGAAGAGGCAAGUGGAAUUCCUGGUGUAGCGGUGGAAUGCGCAGAUAUCAGGAGGAACACCGGUGGCGAAGGCGCCACUCUGGGCCGAAACUGACGCUGAGGAGCGAAAGCGUGGGUAGCAAACAGG